AGGGGUAGCAAUACCACUGGCGCACGGGAGAGUAACGCGUAGAUUAUCUGGCUCUAUCUCUGGAAUAACGCCGAGAAAUUGGUGCUAAAAACAGAUGAGGCACAAGUUGUCAAAAGAAAUGGAUAGAGAUGAGUCUGCGUCUGAUUAGCUAGUUGGUAAGGUAACGGCUUACCAAGGCAACGAUCAGUAGCUGGUCCGAGAGGACGAUCAGCCACACUGGAACUGAGACACGGUCCAGACUCCUACGGGAGGCAGCAGUGAGGAAUUUUGCACAAUGGAGGAAACUCUGAUGCAGCGACGCCGCGUGAAGGACGAAGGGGCUUUGCCCUGUAAACUUCUGUCGGAUGGGAAAAAAAGUUCGGUCGCCGAACUGGGAUUGUACCAUCAAAGGAAGGGUCGGCUAACUACGUGCCAGCAGCCGCGGUAAUACGUAGGACCCGAGCGUUGUCCGGAUUUACUGGGUAUAAAGGGUGCGCAGGCGGACCUGUGCGUCGAAGGUUAAAGACCAGAGCUCAACUCUGGGAGUGCCUUCGAUACGGCAGGUCUUGAGUACGAGAGAGGAUAGUAGAAUUCCUGGUGUAGCGGUGAAAUGCGUAGAUAUCACGAGGAAUACCAGUGGCGAACGCGGCUAUCUGGCUCGUAACUGACGCUCAGCACGAAAGCGUGGGGAUCAAACAGGAUUAGAUACCCUGGUAGUCCACGCCUUUAACGAUGUAUGCUUGGUGUUGGAGCUUAUGCUUCAGUGCCCGGAGGAAACCCAUUAAGCAUACGCCUGGGGGAGUACGAUCGCAAGUUGAAACUCAA
RNAcentral lists this ribosomal RNA (804 nucleotides) under uncultured bacterium. RNAcentral describes it as "bacterial SSU rRNA". It matches the Rfam family "Bacterial small subunit ribosomal RNA", at positions 66 to 904 of the family's 1533-position model. The record is from RNAcentral.